CACACUGGGAGAAUCUGUAAAUAUCACCCCCUAAAGGAGAUGCUUCUGGUGAUCUUGGGCCCUGAAUUCUCGGCUUGAUUAUUGGGACUUCUGUCUGUUUGGCUUUUUAUAGAUUUUUCCCGCGGGUAACUUACAUUGGCUCCUCAAUUCGGCGAUGGAAGGGAAUUUGUCACAUGGACCUAUGGAUCCGGGUCUCACUCCCUAUGGAGGACUUGACUUGCAAGGAUCGACGAGAGCCCCCCAUCAAGGGCAACACCCACAUACAAUCCAGCAUCAGCAUCAGUUGUUCCCUUGUCAAGGUUCUUCUGUCCAUCCCUCGAUUCACGAAGGGUUUCCGCUCACUAUGGGAGCACCACAUGCUUCUGAUCAAUCUGUUUCAGUGACAGAUUUUAGCAUGGGGGAGGGGGGGAAAAAUUCAGUAAGCGACGAAGAUGACCCAAGUUUUACUGAAGAGGGCGCUGAUGAUCAACAUGAUGCAUAUAGAGGGAAGAAGGGAUGGCCAUGGCAGCGUGUGAAGUGGACAGAUAAGAUGGUGAGGCUUCUAAUAAAUGCUGUCUCUUAUGUAGGCGAGGAUGUGGCUUCAGAUUCCAGUGCUGGGCUUAGAAGGAAAUUUUCAUUUGUACAGAAAAGAGGUAAGUGGAAAGCAAUCUCAAAGGUCAUGACUGAAAGGGGUUUUAAGGUUUCGCCUCAGCAGUGUGAGGAUAAGUUCAAUGACCUUAACAAAAGAUAUAAGAAGCUCAAUGAGAUGCUUGGGAGAGGCACUUCUUGUGAGGUGGUUGAGAACCCCGCACUUUUGGAUGUAAUAAGUUUCCUAACAGAGAAACAAAAGGAUAAUGUCAGGAAAAUAUUAAGCUCAAAACAAUUGUUCUAUGAAGAGAUGUGUUCUUUCCAUAAUGCGAACCGAUUGCAUUUGCCUCAUGAUCCAGCAUUACAGCGUUCAUUACAGUUGGCUCUUGGAAUUAGAGAUGAUCGUGAUGAUCAUGAAAAAGGUAACCAGCAUGAUGAUCCAGAAGAAGCUGAUCAAGAUGUAGAUACCGAUGAUCGUGACGAGUAUGGGAAGAAUCAUGAUUCACAUGUGGAUACCAGGGGACUAUAUGGGGUGUUAGGGAGCUCUGGAAAGCGAAUGAGACCAGACCAGGGCCAAGAUGAUGUUUGUUUUGUGAAUUCUUUGGAUUUACCGGAUUGCGACGAUGGUUCUUAUUCUCAUCCACGGGUUGCACAAACUUACAUCAAUAAGGCCUUACCUGAAAGCGGCAGCAGCAGAAUAGCUUUGUUAGGGAAGCAUUGUGUCGAAGCUCGCACACUUCAGUUAGAAGAAAAGAAGCUACAAAUGCAAGCUGACAUGAUGGAAUUGGAGAAAGAGAGAUUCAAGUGGGAAAGGUGUAGCAAGAAAAAGGACCUUGAAUUAGAAAAGCUGAGGAUUGAAAAUGAGCGGAUGAAGCUUGAGAAUGAACGUAUGACAUUAGAGUUGAAGCGCAAAGAAAUGGAAGCUGGCUUAAACUAAUGCUGGUUUCUUUGAAUUUGCUUCUUCAUAACUUCCUGUCUUGGGGUGAUUUGGAUAUUGCAAGGGACAAAGUUGCUCUGGACCUCAUGGUUUACAGUGGGCCCGAGUGACUACUAAUGAUGCUGUUCAAAAAACUAUCCGGUGCAUUGUACAGACAAGUAGGUUUAUAAUUUUGAGAGCUGUGGUAUAGAUCAGAAGCGGAUAUGUUGAAGGUUAGCUUUUACUUUCUUGUUUUCAGUAUUCUCUAGUUUUUACGUAAAGCUUUGUGUUUGACAUGUUAUUGAUGCUCGAGGAACUUUCAGCUAUGAAAGAUAUUGUAAUUUUGUAUGUUUCUCUUAUUUUCUUAAGAUGUCAAACAAUUAGCAUCCACUAUAUGGGAAGGCACACGAAAAUGUGGUUUAAAGGCUACUGAAAAUUGGGAAGGCACACUAUACUGAAGAGCAAGUGAUUAUUUGGAGCAUGAUUAUUUUAAUGAACUAUUGCAAUGGAACUAACUGGUAUUUUCAUGCAAAUGUGUCUUCAAUUUGACUUGGACAUUCUAUAUUUAAAUUCUUUGUAUGUACUCUUUCUGGUGAAUAAAGGUGAAUUAAUAUGGUCAUGAUGUUGCGAUGAAUUAUAUUUAUCACAUGAUAUGAAGUUGAGACUGAUUCAAAAUUGAAACAUUACUCAAUGUUGUCAAAGGCCAGCCUGAGGCGCAGACAGAGUGAACUGCGACCCUAAAGGCACAGUGCCUUCGCCGACGCUUGUGCCUCAAUGCUUGAAGCCUCUCCUCUGGCCCAUGCCUCAAUGGUUUUCUUACUUGUGACGCUGUUUUGGCCUUUUUUUUAUUUAUCUUCUAGUUGAUUUUCUUAAGACUGCAGUUGCACUAGGCCAUAGAUUCAAAACAUAACUGAUUUAGUUGCACUGGGCCCAUGUAAUCAUAAAAAAACAUGAGUGAUUUAAAACAAAAACAUGUAGAUAACUGAGGAGCACCAGUCAAAGUGGUCAUGCUCCUCACCACCUGCGCCUAGGGGCACAGGUUCCAUCCCCAUCCCCAUCAACAAGUGAAAAAACAUAUGGAAAACUAGAUGAGGCUGAACAGAACCUUGUCAAGAGGAGAAAUUAAAGCCAAAAAAAAAGUGAGAGAAGGGAAGACAUAAGUGUGAGCUUUGUUGUAUUACUAGGACUGGCCUACUUUCGUACUUUUCUUGUGAUUGUUUUAUUUUACUCGUUAUCUUUGCCUAGUUAGUGCCUCGUGGCCCUCCCCUCAAUCAGGCAUGUGCCUGAGGUGCACUUUGGGCUUUUGACAGCUCUUGCAUUACUGCUAAGCAUUUCCUUCUAGGCUUCUACAUGAAUGUUGAGAGCUGCAGUGGAUGGCGUUGUAGAUGCAUGAACUUCGAAGAAAAAUUCCCGUGCAUUUGAUAUCUUGCAAGUUUUGGAAGAAACCAAUGUUUCAAACAUCUGAAAAGGGAAAUUCAGAAGAAUUUAGGAUUGAUAUAAGUUAGCGAGUUCCUGCAGGUAAACCAGAGUAUGGUUCCUACUUUUGCAUGAUAACUGCAAAUUGUUCAUAUGUUUUAUUAUACAUUUCUCUUGCAGGGCAAAAUGAUAAUCAUCCCUGCUUUCAUCAUCACCUUUCUCCCAAACCAUGUUGGGGUCAUAUGUGAAUCCAUAUCAGAAAUUAUUGAGAAUCGUUUAGACGAAUUUGUCUUCUCCUUUCAUUCCUUUCAAAGGCUAUACUCUUGUGUAGUCCUAUAGAGUCCAAGCAUUUUCUUAUAACUUCCAUCCAUGUCUUUGUUGCUCUCCCUUUUCUCUUUAUAAUCUGUAUGAAUUUUUUUUUUUGCUCUAGGAACUAUAGCAUUGAUCUCUCUAUUUGUUCUUCCGAUUUUCCCAUGUCUUAUUUUUAAUUGUUGCUACUCCCAUAUGACAUUUAAUAGUCUCCUUUUUUAUCCUAUCCUCCCUUGUUUUGCUGCACAUCCAACGCAACAUUCUAAUUUCUACCACACUCAUUCUUCCGGCAUGUUGUCAAUAAAAGGUGUUGAAGUUAUGCAUUUCAUUAUCUGUCCUCCGGUGAUUUUUAUCUUCCAAAAUUAACUUUGAAAUACUUUUAAGUUGGCCUUCCUUUGAUGGGUGGUACAUCUUUCUUCACAUCAUGAUAUGAAGGUCAGUUCAUUGCUCAUGGCAAGGCUGAAGACCCUCUACUCCUCUAGUGUAUGUUGAUAAUGGGUUGACCAUGGAGACAGAUAAAAGUGUCAUUGAUGGAGAAUGAUUAUUGUUGCCAAUAUAUUGCAGUUACCAAUGGGUAGAUUGAAAAUGAUAUAAGAAGCUCUCAUGGUGGGAUUGCGGAGGAGAAUUAGAUAGGGAUGAAGUGAUUGGUCUAUCUAUGUUGAAUUUGUGGUGGGAAAUGGAAAAUUUGGUUAAGUUUUGGCAUGAUGUGUUGUGGAACGUGACCCCUCAAAAGCACUUAUCUUCCCCUUUUUGAUUUGGCUAAAAAGGAGGAGCAACAGUGGAAGAAAACUUUUUUUCCUAAUUGGAGUAGCAAGUUGAAUGAUUUGAGUUAAUAGAGAAGCUAUGGAAUGGGAGGUAAAUCACUUCUUGGAUUUAAUGAGAAGAUUUAUGAGUCCCCUCAGUGACCGAUUGACCAAGAAGAAGAGAAUGCUUGAAGAAGAUCAAGCCUGUUUGUAAUGGUAAUAGAGACUGCAUUUUCAAAGUUAAAAGACCACAAUGCCAUCCUUUGCCAAAAAAGAGUGUUUAUUAGAGGCAAAGAUAAUUUUCGUUGGAAAGCUAUUCAAAGCUGAAAGCUCUUAUGACCAUGGAAUUUUUUUCUUUGGCAGGCCAGAGGUAAAAGAUUCUUACUAUAGACACACUGCGAAGGAGAGGUAUUGUCAUGAAUAAUAGAUGAUCCUUUUUGAGGUUGAAGUGUUGAACAAGAAACAGUGAAUCACCUCCUGCUCCGUUUCUUGUGGACGUGAAAGCUUUGGUAGCUAGUACAUCAUAUUACGGGUUAUUCUUGGGUUGCUAAUGGAUCAAUAUAACAAGAUGUAGAGGCGUGGAAUUAGAUUUAUGAAGGAAUGAGACUGGAAUGGUAGCUUGUCUUCCAUCCUUUGGUCAUUUGUUGGUGUUUAUGGAGGGAGAGAAAUAAGAGUGCCUUUGAAGGAGUGGAAUUAUCCAUUGACAAUUAUUUUAGUUCUUGACAAUCUUUUAUGUAGGGACUGGAUAGCUGGAUGGUGGUUGCUUCAUAAGUGCUGCUCUCUCUUUGCAUCAAAUAGUCACCCAGGACAGGCCGCCCAGUUCUUUUUGAUAUAAUCUGCAACCAGUUGUUAUAUGGUCUUUCUGUGUGAUAAGGUUUGCAUUACCAUUAAUCUAUACGCAUUCACAUAUAGAUUUGUGCUUAUAUCUAUACCAUAUAUUAUGAACAAAGAGGACUAAUUGUCCUUAACGAUAUGCUCACAAUUCUUUUUUCUUACUGUCACUGUGCCACUAUUAUCAGAAAUACAUUGCUGUCCCUUCAAUGGCAGGUUUCCUUGUUCAUCAGAUAAAUGCUGCCUAGCAAGGACUUGAUUUUGCUCGACAUUCUGCUGUGUAAACAACGGGCAGCCAUUGGGGACUUGAAUGGAACCAAUUCUCGUUUAGUAUGCCGCAUCACAGGGGCAAGGAGGGAGAAAGGGUUUGUCUUACAGCACGGCCUGUCGAAAGGGAAACAGAAACUACUUCUCUAAUUGGUUACUGCAACUGCGUGGAGCUCUUAAUUCUUCUUUCAUUGAUCUCUGCACAUACAUGACCGGUAAUUAGUAUAAGGUUUUAUGGAGAAGAUGCGGAGGAGGAUUUAUAGCCAUACUUGCAAAGAUCAUUAUUGAAUUCUGUCGUAUCGUUCGACUAAUCGGCAGUUUCUUUUCUUUUUCCCUCUCCCUUUUACCAUUCAACAAGCUUCAAGAAAAUCAGUGGAUUAUGAUGAUAAAAGAGAACUAAGAGUCUAAAACAAUUGUGUGCUGUUGUUUUGAAGAUUUUACGGAGGCGAUACGUUGCAUGGAA
This is an RNA transcript of Tripterygium wilfordii, 5512 nucleotides long. RefSeq lists it as uncharacterized. The transcript has 4 exons. NCBI's taxonomy places the organism in Eukaryota, Viridiplantae, Streptophyta, Magnoliopsida, Celastrales, Celastraceae. The record is from RefSeq and is a predicted model, not a curated record.